GGAAGAGCAUCGCCUCCGGUGGGGCGCGCGGCCUUCAAAGCCGUUGAGACGCGCAGACGUGUCUGGUGGGUUCGACUCCUACCUCUUCCGCCA
This 93-nucleotide transfer RNA is filed under the name Gammaproteobacteria bacterium. Its description in RNAcentral is "tRNA-Sec". It matches the Rfam family "Selenocysteine transfer RNA". Lineage: Bacteria; Pseudomonadati; Pseudomonadota; Gammaproteobacteria. The record is from RNAcentral.